GAUGAACGCUGGCGGCGUGCUUAACACAUGCAAGUCGAACGGAAAGGCUCCUGCUUGCAGGGGUACUCGAGUGGCGAACGGGUGAGUAACACGUGGGUGAUCUGCCCUGCACUUCGGGAUAAGCCUGGGAAACUGGGUCUAAUACCGGCUAGGACGAUGGUUUGGAUGCCAUUGUGGAAAGGUUUUCGGUGUGGGAUGAGCUCGCGGCCUAUCAGCUUGUUGGUGGGGUAAUGGCCUACCAAGGCGUCGACGGGUAGCCGGCCUGAGAGGGUGUACGGCCACAUUGGGACUGAGAUACGGCCCAGACUCCUACGGGAGGCAGCAGUGGGGAAUAUUGCACAAUGGGCGCAAGCCUGAUGCAGCGACGCCGCGUGGGGGAUGACGGCCUUCGGGUUGUAAACUCCUUUCGUCAUGGACGAAGCGAAAGUGACGGUACCUGGAUAAGAAGCACCGGCUAACUACGUG
Molecule: ribosomal RNA, 465 nt
Filed under: uncultured bacterium
Lineage: Bacteria
Description: partial 16S ribosomal RNA
Rfam family: Bacterial small subunit ribosomal RNA
Source: RNAcentral